Molecule: long non-coding RNA, 1130 nt
Filed under: Homo sapiens (human)
Lineage: Eukaryota; Metazoa; Chordata; Mammalia; Primates; Hominidae
Description: PREDICTED lncRNA (TCONS_00163784)
Source: RNAcentral
GGCACUUGCAACUUUAUUGCGCCAGCAAGAACAUGCAUACAGCCCAGUCUAACGUACAGGAUCAAAAAGAGACCUUAUUUCGGCUGGCAAUUACCUUACCCGCUUGUUCAUUAUCUGACUCCUGCACUCCUCCCAAGUGUUCAAUGUUAACCAGAUGGCAAAGUUAACCAGACAGAGGAAAUCCACAUAAUUACUCUAGAUGAAGCCCCCUAACUGCGGAUUAGAAGGAAAAGAGAUGAAGGGUGCUGCACUAAUAAUAACAACCAUUUUCAACCAAGGCAGGAUUCUGGGCCUAGAAUCUUCAGUGACAAAUUACCAGGAGAGGAGGAGGGAAAUGAAGAGCUGGAGGCCUAGGGAGAUGGUGUGAGGAGAGGAGACUGUGCCUUUCCACUUCUUAAUAAUUAAUGUUCUCCUGCUGCUCUGAGUCUGCAUCACCAGUGAUUCAGUUUGAGUCAGACAUCCAACAACAACUGAGCAAAAGAAUCAUCUCAGAUCCAAGCAAUGGUGACGCGCAGAUAGAAGAGACUGAGGCCAACGACCAAAGCAAAGGACAGCAGAACUGACUGACACAGCUCAGAAAAUAUCCAAAGCUCUGUAUGCUCUGGAAAGGAAGACAAGAAAUGCUAAAGACUCUGGAUAUUGCUCUGUUUCUAUAAGGUCCCACCCAUAUACCAUCUCUUCUUUUGGAUUUCCUUUGGCAGCUAUACUUGGCCCCAAGGUUUCAACCUCACACUGAAGAAAGUGACAUAAGAAAACACAAGUCCCAGUGCUAUCAGGGGCUAUCUGGAAAAGCUGCUUAAACAGCAAGUGAAAGAAGGCUCUCCCCUACCCCGUUCUAGACGGAGUUCCACUCUUGUUGCCCAAACUGGAGUGCAAUGGCACAAUCUCGGCUCACGACAACCUCCGCCUCUCAGGUUCAAGUGAUUCUCCUGCCUCAGCCUCGCAAGUAGCUGGGAUUACAGACUCACCCUGAAGUUAUUUGAAGGAUCCUUGAGACUCUUUUGGAUUGCUGCUUGGAGAACAUUCCUGUAACUUGUCCCUGCUCCUUGAACUAUAAAAGCAGAAGGGAGGUACUGAGUUAAAACUUACAAAUUAUUAUCAAAUAAAUCUUCAAUAGUGGUUCAGUCCAA